This 77-nucleotide transfer RNA is filed under the name Acidobacteriota bacterium. RNAcentral's name for it is "tRNA-His". It matches the Rfam family "tRNA". From Rfam's summary of the family: Transfer RNA (tRNA) molecules are approximately 80 nucleotides in length. The record is from RNAcentral. Lineage: Bacteria; Pseudomonadati; Acidobacteriota.
GCCGGGGUAGCUCAGUCGGUUAGAGCACCAGAUUGUGGAUCUGGGGGUCGGCGGUUCGAGCCCGCCCCUCGGUACCA